GUUUCACAACUUUUCAUAUCAAAAUACAUUGUUUUGAUGGAAAGACCUUCAAUUGUUCUCUGAACAAUUGGUUAAGUCUUUCCACUUUUCUGUGGAAAGACUUAUUGUAUUUGUUCUGAUUAUUAUUAUUAUUAUUAUUAUUAUUAUUAUUAUUUUUUUUUUUCCGCCAACUUUUGUUCUUGCGAUAAAUGUUUGUUUCGCAAUAUGUCGCUUUGAUAUUUCUCAGAUUGUAUCGUAUAGUUUAUGCGCUUUUAAAUUUCACCCUGCUAAGCCGAACCAAUUUCUUUGUAAGAGUUAUCUCCCUAUUUACUGUUUAUCAUCAGAGUGUAUCUCCUUCGUACCAAAAAGAGAUAGCGACAAAAUUCUUUUUACAAAUUGUUCGUUACAUCCUCACUAAUUUUUGGCUCAUUUGGAUCGAAGCGAUUCGAUUAAAUUUUAUAGGAGUUAUCUACCUUUACGGAAUAAAUUUGUCGGUAUGUUUUUUUAACUCAUAAACCGUUGACCGUAUAACCCUGGAAUGUUUUUAUUUGAGUCCCCUGGAUCCUAACUUAGAAAAUUAGGUCAAGGUCAAAGGUCAAGGUCAUAUUUUAGAUUUUUAUAAGUUUUUCAUUUCCCUAUAAUUCUUGAACGGUUAUAGAUACAAAAAUAUUAAGCAGUGAAAAAUGCUUGGUACUUCAAGGGGCAACUUUUUUUACAUUAUGACUAUAUUGAUUUUACCAUCAUGUAAGGGACAUAACUCCCAUCGAUGGUUUUUAAAAAGCCAUUUUUAGGCAAAACUCUUUAACAAAAGGUCCUUGACCCAUAGGGUCUUUUGCAAUGACCUUGUGGAGCAAUGACCUUGACGAAAGUCACAAGGUCAAAGGUCAAGGUCAUCAAAUUAUGUGGUUUUGGCACUAUUUAAACAGUUUUAUGUGUGUUUGAAUUUCAACCAACCAACCAACCAACCAACCAACCAAUCAAUCAAUCAAUCAAUCAAUCAAUCAAUCAAUCAAUCAAUCAAUCAAUGUUUCCGUUUCAUGUGUUUGAUACGGGAUUCAAGGUCUCUUUUUUUUCGCUUGUUUUAAUUGAGCCUAUCAAACGUGUUUAACCAACAUGUUUAACCAAUAUGUUUAACCAACGUGUUUAACCAACAUGUUUAACCAACGUGUUUAACCAACCAACCAACCAACCAAUCAAUCAAUCAAUGCAUGUUUCCGUUUCAUGUGUUAAAUACGGGAUCCAAGAUGUGUUUUUUUUUCGCUUGUUUAAAUUGAGCCUAUCCAACGUGUUUAACCAAUAUGUUUAACCAACGUGUUUAACCAACCAACCAACCAACCAACCAACCAACCAAUAAAUCAAUGCAUGUUUCCGUUUCAUGUGUUAAAUACGGGAUCCAAGAUGUAUUUUUUUCGCUUGUUUAAAUUGAGCCUAUCAAACGUGUUUAACCAGCCAACGUGUUUAACCAACAUGUUUAACCAACAUGUUUAACCAACGUGUUUAACCAACGUGUUUAACCAACCAACCAACCAAUCAACCAAUCAAUGCAUGUUUCCGUUUCAUGUGUUAAAUACGGGAUCCAAGAUGUUUUUUUUUCGCUUGUUUAAAUUGAGCCUAUCAAACGUGUUUAACCAGCCAACGUGUUUAACCAACAUGUUUAACCAACCAACCAACCAACCAACCAACCAACCAACCAAUCAACCAAUCAAUGCAUGUUUCCGUUUCAUGUGUUAAAUACGGGAUCCAAGAUGUUUUUUUUCGCUUGUUUAAAUUGAGCCUUUCCAACGUGUUUAACCAGCCAACGUGUUUAACCAACGUGUUCAACCAACAUGUUUAACUAACGUGUUUAACCAACCAACCAAUCAAUCAAUCAAUCAAUCAAUCAAUCAAUCAAUCAAUCAAUGUUUCCGUUUCAUGUGUUUGAUACGGGAUUCAAGGUCUCUUUUUUUUCGCUUGUUUUAAUUGAGCCUAUCAAACGUGUUUAACCAACAUAUUUAACCAAUAUGUUUAACCAACGUGUUUAACCAACAUGUUCAACCAACGUGUUUAACAAACCAACCAACCAAUCAAUGCAUGUUUCCGUUUCAUGUGUUAAAUACGGGAUCCAAGAUGUUUUUUUUCGCUUGUUUAAAUUGAGCCUAUCCAACGUGUUUAACCAAUAUGUUUAACCAACGUGUUUAACCAACCAACCAACCAACCAAUCAAUGCAUGUUUCCGUUUCAUGUGUUAAAUACGGGAUCCAAGAUGGUUUUUUUUUCGCUUGUUUAAAUUGAGCCUAUCCAACGUGUUUAACCAGCCAACGUGUUUCACCAAUAUGUUUAACCAACGUGUUUAACCAACAUGUUUAACCAACGUGUUUAACCAACCAACCAAUCAAUGCAUGUUUCCGUUUCAUGUGUUAAAUACGGGAUCCAAGAUGGUUUUUUUUUUCGCUUGUUUAAAUUGAGCCUAUCCAACGUGUUUAACCAGCCAACGUGUUUAACCAAUAUGUUUAACCAACGUGUUUAACCAACAUGUUUAACCAACGUGUUUAACCAACGUGUUUAACCAACCAACCAAUCAAUCAAUCAAUGCAUGUUUCCGUUUCAUGCGUUAAAUACGGGAUCCAAUUUUGAGCCUAUCCAAUGCGUUUAACCAACGUGUUUAAGCAACAUGUUUAAGCAACGUGUUUAACCAACCAACCAACCAACCAACUAAUCAACCAAUCAAUCAAUCAAUCAAUCAAUCAAUCAAUCAAUCAAUCAAUCAAUCAAUCAUGAUCAUGAUCAAUAAAUCAUGUUUCAUGAAAAAUCGAAAUUCAAUAUUGUUCUUGCGUCACUUCUGAAAAAAAAUCCACAUGUACUCUGAAACUACAAGUACAAUCGACCUCAAAAUUUGCAGUCAGCAGGGCAUACAUGUACUGAAAGUUUAUAAAAAAACUUGGUGCAGAUAUCUCUCAAAGCUUUUCCUAGAGAAAAGAAAUGGCAAUGCCGUAAAAAUCGCUUGCUAGGUCCGUAAAUCUCAGUAAAAACCUACAAUAAAAUGUCCGCUCCGAGAUUGAAAUACUAAUCUGUGUUACAAACAGGUGCUGAAAAAUGUACAAUAUCAGAAAAUAAUCAAUAAAUGUGUUUUAAAGUUACACCGGAUCAAUUAAAUCCAAAACAUGCACUGCCCGUGAACUGUCAUCAAAAUGUCAAUUUCCUACAAUGACAAAAGAAAUUACAUUGUGUACAUUCCAUCUCUAUACAUGUUGUCUGUUCAAGGUCCCGACCUAAAAAGAAAUUAAAAGACUAAGUUUUUCUUAAUAUAAACCCGCGUCACGUGAUGUCUCCUCAAUCUUGCGCGCGCGCUGUAUCUAAAAUAAAAGAAAAACUUUCCAAACUAAACAUGAAACUUCUCCGGUAACAUAAUAAUAUAGACCCCAUACCAAAGCAAACAAACAAACAAAUAAACAAAUACCCCCCCCCCCCUUUUUCCAAAUCAAUCAAUAAAAAAAAAUCAAUUAUCCAUUCAUCAGAGGGGAAAGACUGCCUAACAAUUGUUUUCAAAACAAUUGCUUUUAUUAUUAUUAUUAUUAUUUUUUUUUUCCGCCAAAUUUUGUUCUUGCGAUAAAUGUUUGUUUCGCAAUAUGUCGCUUAGAUAUUUCUCAUAUUGUAUCGUAUAGUUUAUGCGCUUUUAAAUUUCACCCUGCUAAGCCGAACCAUUUUCUUUGUAAGAGUUAUCUCCCUAUUCACUGUUUAUCAUCAGAGUGCAUCUCCUUCGUAACAAAAAAAGAUAGCGACAAAAUUCUUUUUACAAAUUGUUCGUUACAUCCUCAGGAAUUUUUGGCUAAUUUGGAUCGAAGCGAUUCGAUGAAAUUUUAUAGGAGUU
Molecule: long non-coding RNA, 3825 nt
Filed under: Mytilus galloprovincialis (Mediterranean mussel)
Lineage: Eukaryota; Metazoa; Mollusca; Bivalvia; Mytilida; Mytilidae
Source: RNAcentral